RNAcentral lists this ribosomal RNA (301 nucleotides) under uncultured bacterium. RNAcentral's name for it is "partial 16S ribosomal RNA". It matches the Rfam family "Bacterial small subunit ribosomal RNA", at positions 509 to 807 of the family's 1533-position model. The record is from RNAcentral.
CAGUCGCCGCGGGAAUACGAAGGGGGCUAGCGUUGCACGGAAUGACUGGGCGUAAAGGGCGCGUAGGCGGCACACACAGUCAGGCGUGAAAUUCCUGGGCUUAACCUGGGGGCUGCGUUUGAUACAUGUGAGCUAGAGGAUGGAAGAGGCUCGUGGAAUUCCCAGUGUAGAGGUGAAAUUCGUAGAUAUUGGGAAGAACACCGGUGGCGAAGGCGGCAACCUGGUCCAUCACUGACGCUGAGGCGCGAAAGCGUGGGGAGCAAACAGGAUUAGAGACCCCCGUAGUCCCUGUCUCUUAUAC